This 494-nucleotide ribosomal RNA is filed under the name uncultured bacterium. RNAcentral's name for it is "partial 16S ribosomal RNA". It matches the Rfam family "Bacterial small subunit ribosomal RNA", at positions 28 to 507 of the family's 1533-position model. The record is from RNAcentral.
GACGAACGCUGGCGGCGUGCUUAACACAUGCAAGUCGAACGGUGAAGCGCUUUCCUUUUUGGUGGGUGUGGAUGAGUGGCGAACGGGUGAGUAACACGUGAGUAACCUGCCCCCUCCUUCUGGAUAACCGCAUGAAAGCGUUGCUAACACGGGAUAUUCUGGGUCUGUCGCAUGAUGGUACUGGGAUAGAUAUUGUUUCGGCGGGGGAUGGGCUCGCGGCUUAGCAGCUUGUUGGGGGGGUGAUGGCCUAGCAGGGCGGUGACGGGUAGGAGGCCUGAGAGGGUGGACGGUCUCACUGGGACUGAGGGACGGCCCAGACUGCUACGGGAGGCAGCGGUGGGGAAUAUUGCACAAUGGGCGCAAGCGUGAUGCAGCGACGCCGCGGGCGGGAUGGAGGCCUUCGGGUUGUGAACGUCUUUCGCCAGUGAAGCAGGCCUGCCUCGUUUGUGGGUGGGUUGACGGUAGCUGGAGAAGAAGCGCCGGCUAACUACGUG